AGUGUAGUGUAGUGUAGUGUAGGUCGGCCACCUGAUAUUGUUGGUUAGUGUUUACGAUUCGCAAAAUAAUAUCAGAGCCAAUGACAGGGACAUGAAAAAUUAUUGGCUAAAAUAGGUCCAAUGUCCUGUCUUGUGGCCUAGAUUAGACUGGGCCAAGCUUUAGUUGGACCCGUGAGCGUGGUACAUUUACACACUUUAAAUGUGAUAGGUGUGUCUUUUUCUUUAUAUUGAUUUUUUUGGAAUUGUUGGUUAUCGCUCACAAUCGAUAAAUAGAACAUAAAUUCUCCGUAUAUCUUUACAUCAAGCACUAUAGCAAAAACGAUGUAUAAUGAUACUUUUAAAUAUCGGUACAGAUAAAAAUCAGUACUGCAGGCUAAAUUAUCGACACUUUUUAAACGUGCUGCUAUAUAUGGGGUCGCUAUAUGUGAGGUCGUCUCGAUGUUUGGCAGCCACUCCUCCAGCGAUUUUUUGGCGGAAGGACACGUAGCGAUCGUAGCUCUCUACAGUCUCUACGAGAUCCUCGCGGCUGAACUUCAGUCACUGAAACCCUACCUCGUCUGCUGUCAAGACUGAGGAGGAGAAAGGGAGAUGGAGAUUUUUUUUUUUUUUCCUUUUUUCUAUUUGUAUCGAGACGAGUGGCUGAGUAGGGUUGGUUGAGUAAAGAAAUUUUUUAUUUUUAAUUAGAUUGGGCUCUAUAUUUAGGCUUUAGUAAAUUUUUUUUUUAAAAAAAAGGCAUAAAUAGGACACUUGUACAAAAGUGUCCGAAAAAUUUGUCGAUACAAUCUAAUUUUGUUCUAGUUAUCGAAAGUUUUUGUAUAUAAUUUAACGAAAUGUUAACGGAUGAGCUGGCGGAAAGAGAAAAAUGAGAUCAUAAAGUACUAAAUUGAUACACUUUAAACUAUAAAGUAUUAAAAUAAAAAAAUAUAAAAUUACAGAGGUUGUAUUUAAAGUUUAUCCAAUUAUUUUUAAAAUAAAAACCAAACCCACCCUCAAU
This 994-nucleotide long non-coding RNA is filed under the name Ananas comosus (pineapple). RNAcentral describes it as "long non-coding RNA (ACOM_LNC005032)". The record is from RNAcentral. Lineage: Eukaryota; Viridiplantae; Streptophyta; Magnoliopsida; Poales; Bromeliaceae.